Molecule: non-coding RNA, 1703 nt
Organism: Punica granatum (pomegranate)
Lineage: Eukaryota; Viridiplantae; Streptophyta; Magnoliopsida; Myrtales; Lythraceae
Source: RefSeq, a predicted model, not a curated record
UUAUAUAAUAAAUCAUUUUGCUUUGGAAUAUAACAUUCACUGAGAUGCAGCUUCCACCUUACAUAUAUUUUUCCAUUUAAGUUAGAAGCUAUGCGGGAUAAUCAUUUUGAUGUGGGAGUUCAGCAUGGAAGAUAGUUAGCAAGAACUUUAUGUUUUACUGGUAUUAGAGUUAUGUAUAUAGUACUUGUAACAAGGUACGACCCGAAAGAUUUUUUUUAACUGCUCAUGGAAUGUUUUAAGAAAUAUGAUAUAUUUAUCUUUUAGAGAUCUAUGAUUUUUUCUAGUAUAUAUGUAUAUUAGAGUUUGUUGGGGUGGUUAUAUAUAUUUUGAAGUUUAUGAAAAGCAGGUUCUUAUAUGAAUAGUUAUGUGAUAAUGGAUAUCGAGAAAAUUUAGGAGAAAUUCUAUUGAAAUUUCGGGUCGUGACAGUGUAAUUUUGUCCAGCCAGGUAUUUGGUUCCCUAAGCUAGCCUCUACUUGAAGAAAUGCUCUUAUGCCAUAAAAAAUCGAUGAUUUCAGAAGCAAUCGGCAUUUGAAGCCUCGAGCACCUAAGAUUGCUCUUCAUUGAAAUGCCUAAAAAUGAGCAGUCUCAGUUUGGAAUAUCCUCAACGAAUGGGCACAGAAAUGGAGCUGGAUCUUGGUCUAUUGUAUCCACAUAGAGAUAGCUUUGAUAGGUCCUUCAAGUUUGCGAUGAUUAGAAAAGAUUACGUUAUAGGACAGUUAUUAGUGUAUAUUAUAAAUAUGGUUGCCUUUCCUAAAGUUUGUAGGAUAGUAUAUAUAGGAGCUCUAGCUCUUGACGUUUGAAAAGUCUCGAAUAUCCAGAACUUGCUAGGAUCUCACUUUACAAAUACUUGUAAGUGCGGGAUCUUCGGACUGACAAAAGUAAGUCAACAAGAGAAACAGCUUCUACGUGUGUAAUCGCUUUCCUUUUGACAAUUAAAUAUUGCUAGGCAAAAGUGCCUUAUCUGCCCUCGUGUGAUAUUGUGAAACCCAUGAUUUUUUAUACACCCAUAUAUAUAGUCAUAUAUGGUUGUAAUAUAUCUAUAUAUUUAUAUUUAUAUAUAGAGAGCAGCUAAGUUAAAAAAAUGGGUUUAUUGAUUUGGUUUGGGCUAAGCCCAUUAAGCCCACCCAUUUUUCCUAUCCUGAACCUUCUGCACCUGCCUCUUCAUUUCUUUGGGUUUUUAUUUAUUGGGACUUUGGGAGUUCUGAUAAUCAGGAAAAAAAAAAAAAAGAAGAGAGAAAGAGAUCAAAGUGGGAGAGCAUCAAAUAGGGUAAAGCGUAGCUUACAUUGAACUAGGUUAUGGGUUAUCUUAGAUGAGUUAGAAGUGCUAGUAGCGUUGGAGAGACUUUUGACGCCAGGGAUCAGCGCGAAGAAUUUUGCAGCUAGAUCUACUUAGAGUAUAGGUAGUAAGUUUAUGUAGCAUGUUAAAAAUACGUCGCGAUCUGAAAACUUUUGUUGAGUUAAGUCUAUGGGUGUUAUAAAGGAUUAUGUUAGAUGUUCUCGAGAUGGAUAGGUUACUUGAGAUGCGUUUAUAUAUAUAUAUAUAUAUAUUUAUUAGAAUUGGCUAGUCGGAUUAUGUAUAUGAAAGUUUAUAAUAUAUAUAGCAGGUUGAUUUUGAAAUGGAAUAUUAUGAAUUUUAGGAAAAAUUAUGCUGAAAUUUCGGGUAAUGACACUUAAUUCUCCUUUUUACUUGAAGGAGAAACAGA